This 1961-nucleotide long non-coding RNA is filed under the name Salmo salar (Atlantic salmon). RNAcentral describes it as "lncRNA (ENSSSAG00000111642.1)". Lineage: Eukaryota; Metazoa; Chordata; Actinopteri; Salmoniformes; Salmonidae. The record is from RNAcentral.
CUUUUACUGAGGAGUGGCUUCUGUCUGGCCACUCUACCAUAAGGGCCAGAUUGGUGGAGUGCUGCAGAAAUGGUUGUCCUUCUGGAAGUUUCUCCCAUCUCAUAGAGGACCUCUGGAGCUCUGUCAGAGUGAUCAUCGGGUUCUUGGUCACUUCCCUGACCAAGGCCCUUCUCCCCGGUUUGCUCAGUUUGGCCGGGCGGCCAACUCUAGGAAGAGUCUUGGAGGUUCCAAACUUCUUCCAUUUAAGAAUGAUGGAGACCACUGUGUUCUUGACUCCAAUAAAGCUGUAGAAUCAUCAAGGAUGAUCAAUGGAAACAGGAUGCACCUGAGCUCAAUUUUGAGUCUCAUUGCAAAGGGUCUGGAUACUUAUGAAAAUAAGGUGUGCUGUAGUCAGAGCAGAUCCCUUCCAGCUGCAACUCGUUCCAUAAUCAAGACCUCUACAAAUACUCAGUCCUGCCGCUUCCACUCUGCCAGAUCGUAAUCUCUGCUCAUUAACGCUCUGUCUCUGGUUCCUGUCCCACAUCUCACCACCCAACUACCUUGCUCUGGAUUUUACUCACCACCACUACCUUGGAUUCCCCUCAGGACCUGUUUACCCUGUUCUACUUAGCUAACUCUGACCUCAGUCUCCACAUCUGGUUUUUCUGCAACUCAUCCGAGCUUCCCCGGAUGUGCACUCCAUAUCGCCCUGUGUAACAAUAAAUAUUUUGGUUCACUCAUCCCUGUUUCCUCAUCUGAGUCUGCUCUUCGGUUCCCCUGUGUCGCUGGGCGUAACAAACUGAGCAUAGGUCAUUGACAGAAACAACUUGAAUUGUUGCAUCUCAUUGUGUUCUUGUCCUCCAGUGGCUAGCUAACUAAAAUUGUCAGUUUCCUAAAUUAGCCAUAGGUGAAGAUAAGGAUUUGGAUUUGUGGUUUUACUUAAUUCUCCGUACUGGCCAAUGAUUAUAACGGUGAUUCUGAUCCAAUUAUUAAUUCAUACAUUGUGCCCCUGGCCCGAGAGGAUGGAAGUUCAAUAUGUAGCUAGAUGUAGAAGGUUAAUGUUAACUAGCUAACGUUGCCUGUGAAAGAAAGUUAGGCUAGCAUUUUAGCCAGGUAGCCUUAAAGUGUGUACUGUAUGACAGAGUAAUAGACCAUUAAGUCAACAUGAAAGAGAGGAUGGCAUUGGCGUUUCUCUACAAGUAGGCUGAGUCAACAUGUUUUUAUUUCUACUUGCACAAACUUUCACGGACGCACGCACACACACACACACACACAUACGCACAGAGAAAGCAGAAACAUGGACAACCACAUAUUUAGCUUACGUUGAUUGAACUAAAUCGUUUUUGGUAUCUUUUAGUUGUCACUGUAUUAGAUUAAGCUUCGUUGAUUUGAUGUUGAAAUGGUGCUGGAAUAGUGCUCUCCGGUUUGUGAGGGAACAGCAGUGUGGUCGAAUAUAUUCUGCCACUGUGUCUUCUUAUUGUCUUGGCCUUUAAGCUUAGAUAUCACGGUGGCAAGACAUAUGAACUGACAGGUUAUAGAGCAAACAGCACAAUUAUCACAACACAUAGGUUGUAAUAUGGCUUUGUGACGACCCUCCCACUCUGUCUGAGGUAUUCUUUCUCUUUGCUCUUGUUUUCCUUAUUAGGAUGCCGGUGGGCGGAGCCAGGAGCAAAAUGGCACACACAUGUGCAUUUCGCUACUUGCCAAGCGUUUUGCUACACUCGCAUUAACAUCUGCUAAACAUGUGUAUGUGACAAAAUAAAAAUUUGAUUGGAUUUAGUCCUUUUCCCCAUUCACUGAGGAGACUCUCUCCAUGCAGUCACACUGUUUGAUUUUGGCAUUUUUGUGUACAUUUCCUUUGUUUCCUUUGUUUCCUUUGGCACCUUUCAACAUCCCUCAUUAUCACAUCUAUGCACGCAACCACUCACUUACACUACUGACUACAUACGCCAAUUGUUUAUUACUUCACUUCUUAAAUAUAU